Long non-coding RNA from Carassius gibelio (silver crucian carp), 207 nucleotides. RefSeq lists it as uncharacterized. The record is from RefSeq and is a predicted model, not a curated record. The transcript is spliced from 2 exons. Lineage: Eukaryota; Metazoa; Chordata; Actinopteri; Cypriniformes; Cyprinidae.
UGAAAGUGAACAGUAAUCUUUAAUCUGACUGUAACUGCUGUAGAGUAUAAUGAUACUAACUGUAGUUUCUCCAGCUUGAAUUGUGUGUUCAUCAGUAGAUCACUGAGGUGUUUCACUCCAGAGUCUCCUAGUAGUUCAUUCAGACUCAGGUUCAGUUCUCUCAGGUGUGAUGGGUUUGAUUUCAGAGCUGAAGUCAGGAUGAGACAC